ACACUAUAUAAAUUUAGCUCAUAUUAUUACCUAUCUCAAGAGAAGGUGGAAUAAGAUGAUAAAGGUCAGGUGCAUGCUUAGCACAGUUUCUAGGAUGUUCUAGCAGUUCAAACCUGUUAGCUGCCCUUAUAAUUCCAUAUUUUAUCAGUUUAAAAGCAGUCUUUUUUUCCCCACCAUCUCUGAAUCUGUCUCUCAGUCACUUUAGGGAUGGAGGCAUCCAUGAUGUAAUUUUCAUUGCCCGCAGUUCAUCUUUUGCAGAACGGUGUCAGCUGCUUGGAAGAACAGCCCACAGGCAGUAGUGGAGCACUCUCUGAAGAAGUACCAACUGAUUCGACCCUGUGAUCACCCCUGGGCUCCAGAUGGUGCAGAGGAUGACGUUCUGGGGAAACCAUGGACGUAAACAGCUCUGGUCUGAAAAGCGACCCAGAGGAUGUGGAUUCUGAAUGCGACAAAAUUUGAGGAUUCCCUUAAAUAAUUUGCUUCACGAUAUUUUCCUUUCAUGCAUGCAUGAGAUUAAUAUACAUGAAAAACCCAUUCUACAUAAACCUAAAAAAGCUUUCAGUAAGUAUAAAAUAUGCCUUCUAAGUAAUUAAGAUCCACUGUGUCACAAUUCAGUAAGUUAUCUAUCUUUAUUUCUCAGAGGGACAUAAAAUAACAGCACAUCUGACAAUCACCAGUACCUUAGAUCAUGGAUGGUCAUGGCUACAUCAUCCACCUGCCAGUCAGCAUGUCCUGAGCAACCAGCCCACUGUAGCAGGUGUGGUGAGCUGAGAGUCAGAGGUUGGGGGAAGAGAAACAUGCUGGGGUCCCUGCCUGGAGUUGGCCGUGGAUGCUUCCUGCAGACUGGGCACUGCCUGGGGCAGCCCAGGCCUCCCAUGCUCUCCUCUUAGUAUCUUGCUGCCAAGCUGAAUCUACUCUGGCUUUUCUUGGGUGGCCUGGUCUUGGCUCAUUGUCGGCGUUCAGGCAAGUCAUUUCAUUUCAUCUGAGCAAGUUGCAACUGCUUGGGCUGAGCCUGUCCCAUGACUUACAAGGGCCAGGUCUGGGUUGGGCAGGCAAGUAGGUCUGAUAAGGAGGAUGGGCCAAUUCUGGCCGGCACUGCCUUGUAGGGAAUCCGGGCUUUCCCUGCAGGGCUCUGGGCACAGGCAAGGGAAAGAAGGGGUGGAGACUUGUACGCAGUGAAAGUGGCAGGCCUCUUUGAAUAUCAAUGAGAGAGAGCAGGACAGCGUCUCCAAGGUAGGAUGUUCUCCUGAUUCCAUGUGCCCAGGGCCUACAAGAAACCAAGCAGUGACCCUUGCUUCCACCCCCUCCACCAGUAUGAAAAUCUCUAGGCUUUCCUCUUUGAUUUUAAGAGGAUUCUGUGGGGAGAGAAAAUUUUGCUUAUCAAGAAAAGUAUCACUUAAUUUGGUGACAUUGAGUACAGGUGGUGACAUGUGAAUGUCAGAGAGGGAAGGGCCCGGGUUGGGGCAAGAGGAUGAAUGAGGUGGCCGAUUGCAGCCAAUGUCACAUGUUGGAAAGAGUCGUGAGCAGCCACUCCUUUUUGAAACUCAUUCCCACAUGUGAGUACACCCUGUGUGUGUUUUUUACUCCCAAGUUCAAGUUCUCUGGGUAAUUAAUGAUAUUUUGAAUAUACUGUCGACUGUGAAUUCAUCUGCCAAGAAAGGGAUAGUUGAUAUGGUUUGGUCAUUUUAAAUUUGAAGAUUAUUAAAAAGAGAGGUGGUGGUGGCAGGGGGUGGGGGAGAGAGGAAGGAAAAAUGGGGAAAGAAAGGAAGGAAAUCCAACUGAGGUGAUUUCUUUCUGUGUGAAUACUGCAGGAUAUUGUUAUAUUGCUAUAAUUUAUGUAUUUCUUGAUUGUUUUUGAUUGAUUGAUCCAUUGAGCAAACAUUUAUUGGAUGCCUAAGAUGAGUCAGGUGCUGUGCUAAGGCCUAAGUUAGUGAAACAGAGGGUUCCUGCCUUCAAGAAACUUGCAAGGUAGUAAACACGCAAAUGCUUAUGAUAUGAAUCGUUUGCUUGAGUUACUUGAUCUUUGCAACCUCCCUUUGAAGUAGGCAUUGUUAUCUAUUUUACAGAUAAUGAAAUAGAUUCCUGGAGGUGAAGAAACAAGGGAAGCUAGAGGACUCUGGGAAUUCAGAGUGAUGAGAAGUGGCACAAUCAAGAUUUGAAGACGAUGCAGAAGAAAUCUGAUGAUUCUCAGGGAUGCAGCUUGGUCCAUCAAGCCUUUAGCGACAGGACAGGCUACAUCACUUGCAGGGCCCAGUGUAAAAUAAAAACAGGAGGCACCUUGUUAAAAAAUUAUUAAGAAUUUCAAGAUGGUGACGGGAGAACAUUGGACCAAGUGGGAGAACUUCCUGGGCAUGGGAUCCUGUACAACCACACAGGCCUCACUGCCAUGAAGCCAGCCCUUACUCUUGACCGUGGCUGUCUUUUCCUGGAUAUCUGAAUAAACUGAAAACCUCCAUCACCUGUCCAGAUAUUCUGGAUCACAUACCAUGCAUGUGGGCAUUUGGGAACGUCCAUUUUUUUGGUAUUUAUUUACUAUUUUAAAAAUGGAAUUGUAAUUGACAUAUAUAAUAUUAUAUUAGUUUCAGGCACAACAUAGUGAUUUGAUAUUUUUAUGCUCUAUGAAAUGAUCACCUUGACAGGUCUAGUUGUCAUCUGUCACCAUAAAGUUAUUAUAAUAUUAUUGUCUCUAUUCCCUAUGUUUUACAUUACAUACCCAUGACUUAUUUAUUUUAUAAUUAAAAGUUCGUAGCUCUUAAUUCCCUUCACCUAUUUUGCCCAUUCCCCCCAGCAACCACCAGCUUGUUCUCUGUAUUUAUGAGUCUGAUUCUGUUUUGUUUUGUUUGUUUGUUUUGUUUUUUGAUUCCACAUGUAAGUGAAAUCAUACGGUAUUUGUCUUUCUUUGUCUGCCUUAUUAUACUUAGCAUAAUACCCUCUAGGUGUUGUUGCAAAUGUCAAGAUUUCAUUCUUUUUAAUGGCUGAAUAAUAUUCCAUUGUGUAGAUGUACGACAUCUUCUUUAUCCAUUCAUCUAUUGAUGGACACUUAGGUUGCUUCCAUACCUUGGCUACUAUAAAUAAUGCUGCAGUGAACAUAGGGGUACAAAUGUCUUUUCAAAUUAGUAUUUUCAUUUUCUUUAGAUAAAUACCCAGAAGAGGUAAUGCUAGAUUGUGCAGUAGUUCAAUUUUUUGAGGAACCUCUGUACUGUCUUCCCUAGUGGCUGCACCAGUGAACAUCCCUGCCAACAGUGUUGGAGGGCUCCCUUUCCUCCACAUCCUCACCAACACUUGUUAUUUAUUGGUUUUUUGAUAAUAGCCAUUCUGACUGAUGUGAGGUGAUAUUUCACUGUGGUUUUGAAUUGCAUUUCCCUGAUGAUUAGUGAUGUUGAGCAUCUUUUCAUGUGUCUGUUGGCCAUCUGUAUGUCUUCUUUCUAUUCAAGUCAGGAACACCCAUUCUUUAAUGUACUUUCUCUUAAACCACUUAUUACAGGUAUUGGGAGAUAUUGGCAAGAUCAAACUUUCUUUGAGAAAUACAAUGUCUGGUGGGACAGGAAAACAUCUACACAUACCCAUACAAAGUAAUUAAUAAGCCUAUUAUUCCAUUCGUUUAGUUAGUACACAUUUGUUACUAUCUACUAUGUACCAGGCACUGUGCUGGGCAUCAGAGAUACAGAAAUAAAUCAAAUAUCAUUAAAAGCACAGAAUAUGAGGCUGCACCCUUAGGGAUAGGAUCCCCAUGACCUUGGGCGAGUUACUUAACCUCCCUGGGCUGUAGACUCCUCAUCUGUACUAUGACGAUAAUCAUAAUACUUUCUUGCAAGAAUUGUUGUGAGGAUUAAAUGAAUUAAUCCUCAUAUUAAAUGAGCUAAUAUGAGGAGAUUUUUAGAACAGUGCCUGGCACAUAUAGUGCACUAUGUAAGUUAUUUUCUCAAGGAAUUAGAAGUCUAGUGGCAGAGAAUGACACACACAUAUGCAAAAUGUACCCAAUAAUUAAUUCAACAAAAAGUUCAUCCCAUCUGACCUGUUUCAGGUUUCGCGUGUGGCACUGGGGAGACGUGAGGAAAAGCAAGAUGUGGUCUCUUUCCUCCCUGCCUCCCCUGAGUCCACAGCCCUGUGCUUGUCUAACAGCAGAGCAGGGCCCUGUUAUGACAAAACCACCGUUUCAAAAUGUGUUGUUACUGCUCCUGUAUUUUAUCCUUGGCAUGAAGAUGUGCUGAGGGCAGGUGUGUGGGAGAGGAGCUUGCAAGGUAUUUGGGGAGCUCGAAGCAGAGUGCUCUCCCCUCCCUGAGGAGGAGAGAGGCCAGCAGGAGCUUCUCUCUUCCUCAGGACCUAGCUGUCAUGUGGAGCAGACCCAGCGUUCGUGUAGAUGGCAAGACAGAGCAAAGCAGAGCCCGUGUUUGGCCACGGAGAGGUUUGCUGCACACCCUGUGACUCAUCCUCCCGGCCCAGCGGCCCCAGGGCUGAGCGCACAGGCCCUCUGACUCAGGCACUGUGGGGAGUCCUCCUCUGGGUAAAGGCAGGAGGCUGUCCUGUGCCCCGGAGUGUGGGCCUUCCCCUGCCUUCACCAGCCUCUGCGCUCUCUGCUGCACUCAUGUCGGAUGCCGUACCUGCUCGGGGACAGAGAAAACUGCCAUCCACCCCUGCCCAGAAGCAGAUUUUACAAGGGCUGGCUUCUCUGGGGAAUUUCACCCUAGCUUCUCACAGAAUGAGCAGGGAGGUGCUGUGAUCUGGAGGGGUGGGUGAAGUCGGCGGAGGUGGCUGCCCUAGGCUGCUCACUGCCCCUCUCUGGGCCUUGCUGCUGAAGGUGUUGGGUCUCUGAGGAAGAGGGGAGCAGCAGAGGCCAGCCAGCUCAGCUGGGAAAAACGCAUGCUAAUGAGGCACUGUGUUUUGGCUUUUGGCCUCUUAUGUGUGCUCCCUGGAAAUGCAGAUCAGCCUCAUCUUGGAGCUUGCUAGAAAUGCAGAAUCUCAGGCUCUACCCUGACCCACUGCAUUAGAACCUGCAUUUUAAUAAGCUCUCCUGAUGAUUCAUGUACAUGUUGAAGUUUGAGCAAUGUGCGAACUUGGCUGCACCUGGGAAUCUGGGGAGUUUUGACACAUUCAGCUGUCUGAGACCCACUCCCCAGAGAUUCUGAUUUUACUUGGCUGAGGUGUGUCAUGGCACCUUCAAAGGUCCCAGGUGACUUGAAGGGGCAGAAGCCCUGCUCUAGUGUAUCAGGAUGAUGUUGUGGAGCCCAAUCCCACACUCAAAUGAAUGCCCACAGUGUCCAGUGUGGCACAGAAAUGAGCCCAGGAGGAUAGGGUCAGCGAAGGUGACGUCCGGUGCGUAUGGCAGAGAUGACUGAGAAUGGAGGAGGGCUGUUGCCUGGACGACAGGGCCCUGUGGUAUUAUUGAGCUGCAGCUGUUUGUCACCACACCUCAAUGCACACCCUGUGGGGCCAGAUCUCCCCAAAAUACAGCUGUUGCUGUGGCAACCUCUAAUUUUUAAAUGUUGGCUCAGUCUUACUUCAAAAUACUCUGUGGUCUAAACAGAAUGGGCAGCAGGUGGCCUGGACCUCCUGGUUUGUAACCUCUGUCCAAGGUAGGGUGUCCUACUGUCCUGGUUUGCCAGCAACUGUCUUGGUUUUGGUGCUGGGAGUCCAACAUCCUUGAGAGCCACUCAGUCUCCAGCAAACCAGGAUGGCAGGUCUUGAUGCAGGGUGCUUACUGAGUUAGCAGCAUCCGCUUUGGACCUCUCUCUCCCAGGUUUGAAUUCUGCCUGUUACUGACUUACUAUGUGAUCUUGGUCAUGUCACUUUAUCUCUAUAUACCUUAGUUUCUUCAUUAGUAAAAGGUGCUCAUAGUGUCCUUGUGAGAACGAGAUGAAUUCAUACACAAAGUGCUCAGAGCAGUCCCUGGCAUUCAGCAAAGGCUGUGUGAAUGUUAGGUUAUUAUUAUUCAAUUAUUGCAUGUUUGGUGUAAACCCAUCUAACUUCACCAAAUUUGAAAGUAUCUCAGAGCAUCUGCACUGACAUGCUAAAAAUGGGAGCUCUGGAUGCAGAAGACCUGGCAUUGAGGCCUGUCAGUGCCACCUAUGAGCUGUGUGACCUAGAACAGGUUACUUAACAUCUCUGUGCCUCACUGCUCAAAUGUUAAGUUGGGAUAAUCAUAUCUAUCUUCAGGAAUGCUGUGAAGAAUAAACGAGGUGAUGUGUUUCAAUCUGAAGUCCACCUGGGAGAGAUGUGUUCUUGUUAGAGGGUUGAUGCUGUCUCUUCAUCCUUCAGGAAUGUUAAAAAAAAAAAAAGGUUCAGGGUGAAGAAAUGGUUUAAUUGCAGAGAUGUAUAAAUGUUUCAAGAAAUUUAAUCAAUCACUACAACAGGUUGCAUCACCUCAAAAGGAAGUCAAACAUACACCAGGGUGAGCUUCAGCUCUUCUUGUGGUCAGAAAGCUAGAACACUUGUUAUAUUAUAUUAUUUUAUAAUAUGUAAAAAAUAUAUAAGAAUGUUUUAUAAAAUAAAAUAAAAUAGUACAGUUUUUUGUGAGUAUCUGUUUCCUUCUCAAGUGGCAGCCCUCAACCUGAAAUACUUUCAUUUAAAAAAAGAGUCUUUGCAAAUAGUUGGUCAUGAUUUGGCUGCAGAAUUUUUACUUUUUUUCUUUUUAUUUGAAAAGUCACAUACAGUUGAGCACUUUGUUUAGAAGCCAUGUGACUAAAAUAAUUUGUAUUGGUAUCUGUUGUUGCAUGACAAACCACAAAGCACCCCAGAACUUGGUGUCCUGAAAUAACACCUAUCUAUUUAGCUUGUGAUUCUGCCAGGUGGUUCUCUGGUCUUGGGGUCGGGCUUGGACGAUCUUGGCCACGCUGGCUCAUCACGUCUUCAGUGAAUUGGCGUGGUCUAGUCUCAGACGGCCUCAGUCACAGUGGCCGUUGGCUGGUGGUGGCAGGGGACCUCCUGUCUCUCAUCAUUCCACAGGCUAGCUUGGGCCUCCUCACAUGGUGGCAGAGCUCCAUGUGCAGGUGCUUCUCCAGCCUCUGAUUUGGUCAUGUUUGCCAUUCUUCCCU
Manis pentadactyla (Chinese pangolin) is the source of this 7031-nucleotide long non-coding RNA. RefSeq lists it as uncharacterized. The record is from RefSeq and is a predicted model, not a curated record. Lineage: Eukaryota; Metazoa; Chordata; Mammalia; Pholidota; Manidae. The transcript is spliced from 3 exons.